RNAcentral lists this ribosomal RNA (267 nucleotides) under uncultured bacterium. RNAcentral describes it as "partial 16S ribosomal RNA". It matches the Rfam family "Bacterial small subunit ribosomal RNA", at positions 525 to 794 of the family's 1533-position model. The record is from RNAcentral.
ACGAGGGACACAGUGUUGCCGGAAUUAUUGGGCGUAAAGAGCUCGUAGGCGGUUUGUCGCGUCUGCUGUGAAAGCCCGGGGCUCAACCCCGGGUCUGCAGUGGGUACGGGCAGACUAGAGUGCAGUAGGGGAGACUGGAAUUCCUGGUGUAGCGGUGAAAUGCGCAGAUAUCAGGAGGAACACCGAUGGCGAAGGCAGGUCUCUGGGCUGUUACUGACGCUGAGGAGCGAAAGCAUGGGGAGCGAACAGGAUUAGAUACCCCGUAGU